Molecule: long non-coding RNA, 314 nt
Filed under: Mytilus galloprovincialis (Mediterranean mussel)
Lineage: Eukaryota; Metazoa; Mollusca; Bivalvia; Mytilida; Mytilidae
Source: RNAcentral
AGUUAAUGAUCUUGUCUGCAUUGAUUCAACUUAAAACUAUUGUCUGAUCGGUUGUCAGGUGGAAUUUUCGAAAAAUCAUAAACAUUUAAACAAAUUCUAAAUAAAUAUUUCGUGGAAGGGCAGACUAGAUUUUUUUAGUGGUUGAAGACUAUAAACCAUAGUUAUCACACACAAAAAAUUAGAAUUUUUCGAAGAUAUGCAUUUUCAUCAUCCAAUUGUAAGACUGUCGUCAAGUACUUUCAGUAAAAAAAUAGCUAUUCGAACACACUUUCUCUGUUUUUGUGACUCAUUAGAUAGGUAUUUCACUUGACCCA